UACAGAGGUCUCAAGCGUUGUUCGGAUUCAUUGGGCGUAAAGGGUGCGUAGGCGGCGCGGUAAGUCGGGUGUGAAAUUUCGAGGCUUAACUUCGAAACUGCAUUCGAUACUGCCGUGCUUGAGGACUGGAGAGGAGACUGGAAUUUACGGUGUAGCGGUGAAAUGCGUAGAUAUCGUAAGGAAGACCAGUGGCGAAGGCGGCUCACUGGCCCGGUACUGACGCUGAGGUGCGAAAGCGUGGGGAGCAAACAGG
This 253-nucleotide ribosomal RNA is filed under the name uncultured bacterium. Its description in RNAcentral is "partial 16S ribosomal RNA". It matches the Rfam family "Bacterial small subunit ribosomal RNA", at positions 524 to 776 of the family's 1533-position model. The record is from RNAcentral.